This 558-nucleotide long non-coding RNA is filed under the name Elaeis guineensis (African oil palm). Its description in RNAcentral is "long non-coding RNA (EGUI_LNC077594)". Lineage: Eukaryota; Viridiplantae; Streptophyta; Magnoliopsida; Arecales; Arecaceae. The record is from RNAcentral.
AAGGAGGUUGCUUACUGUAGAAGCUCGGACGAAGAUCGAUUGCCGUGAAAGUUCGGAUGGAGACUUUUUAUUGUAGAAGCUCGGAUGAAAUUUGCUUGCAAUAGAAGUUUGGAGUAGAGAUCUGGUUGGUGGAGUCCGUCCGUUGUAGAAGUUCGUCUGGGAUCCAUCCGCUGUAGAAGUUCGGACAGAGUCCGACUCUUAUAGGAGUUCGGAUGAAAUCUGAAAGGUGGUCGACCACCGUAGAAACUUGGAUGGAGUCUGGUUACUGUAGAAGUUUGGCUGCUGGAGAAGCUCAGUCAUUGAUGAAGUUUGGAAGAAGUUCGGAGUAAAGUCGAUCGUGGCUGGAAGAAGUCUAGAAGAGAUUCGGAGAGUAGUCAAUUACUGUAAAAAAUUGACAGAUAGUGAAGCCCAGAGAGUAUUUGGAGCAGUCUGAUAGAUGAAUGGAGGAGCUCAUUAUUGGAGAAGUCCGGAUGGCACGAUAGGAGUUCGUCUGUUGGAGAAAUCUGGAGGACACUGUGGAAUGUCGACUGCUAGAGGAGUCCGGAUGGUAUUGUGGAA